Molecule: ribosomal RNA, 253 nt
Filed under: uncultured bacterium
Lineage: Bacteria
Description: partial 16S ribosomal RNA
Rfam family: Bacterial small subunit ribosomal RNA
Source: RNAcentral
UACGAGGGGGGCAAAUGUUGUUCGGAAUCACUGGGCGUAAAGGGAGCGUAGGCGGGUGUUUAAGUUAGGUGUUUAAUCCCAGGGCCCAACCCUGGUCGUGCACUUAAAACUGGACAUCUUGAAUAGGGGAGAGGUCAGUGGAAUUGGGGGUGUAGCGGUGGAAUGCGUAGAGAUCCCCAAGAACACCAGUUGCGAAGGCGGCUGACUGGACCCAUAUUGACGCUGAGGCUCGAAAGCAUGGGGAGCAAACAGG